AACGAACGCUGGCGGCAUGCCUAACACAUGCAAGUCGAACGAGAACAUCGGGUCUUGUGUCGCCCGGCUGCGUAACGCGUGGGAACCUUCCCUUAUGUUUGGCCUACCUCUCCGACAGGGGUGACAACACCGGACCAUGUCUUCUGACCAAUGAUUUAUCGACUCUGUAUGUGCGCGCGUUGGAUUCGCUAGUUGGUAGGGUAAGAGCCUACUAAGGCGCCGAUGCAUAACUGGUCUGAGAGGAUGGUCAGCGACACUGCGAGUCAGACGCGGCACGGAAUCCUACGGGAGGCGGGAGUGCGGAAUGGUGCAAAAUGGGGUGAAGGAUGAUCCAGCAAGGCCGCGUGAGUGAUGAAGGCCGUAGAGUUGUAAAGCGCUUUUACCCGGGAUGAUAAUGACAGUACCGGGAGAAUAAGCUACGGCUAACUACGUG
This 433-nucleotide ribosomal RNA is filed under the name uncultured bacterium. RNAcentral's name for it is "partial 16S ribosomal RNA". It matches the Rfam family "Bacterial small subunit ribosomal RNA", at positions 29 to 507 of the family's 1533-position model. The record is from RNAcentral.